This 158-nucleotide ribosomal RNA is filed under the name Madracis myriaster. RNAcentral's name for it is "5.8S ribosomal RNA". It matches the Rfam family "5.8S ribosomal RNA". From Rfam's summary of the family: 5.8S ribosomal RNA (5.8S rRNA) is a component of the large subunit of the eukaryotic ribosome. The record is from RNAcentral. Lineage: Eukaryota; Metazoa; Cnidaria; Anthozoa; Scleractinia; Pocilloporidae.
ACUUUUGACGGUGGAUCUCUUGGCUCACGCAUUGAUGAAGAACGCAGCCAGCUGCGCUAAGUAGUGUGAAUUGCAGAAUUCAGUGAAUCAUCGAAUCUUUGAACGCAAAUGGCGCUCUUGGGUUCUCCCAGGAGCAUGUCUGUCUGAGUGUCGGAUAU